This 254-nucleotide non-coding RNA is filed under the name uncultured bacterium. Its description in RNAcentral is "partial 16S ribosomal RNA". It matches the Rfam family "Bacterial small subunit ribosomal RNA", at positions 524 to 776 of the family's 1533-position model. The record is from RNAcentral. RNAcentral also lists the same sequence under 1 other name.
UACGUAGGCAGCGAGCGUUGUUCGGAGUUACUGGGCGUAAAGAGUGCGUAGGCGGUUUUCUAAGUUUGGUGUGAAAUCUCCCGGCUCAACUGGGAGGGUGCGCCGAAAACUGGAAGGCUCCGAGUAUGGGAGAGGUAAGCGGAAUUCCUGGUGUAGCGGUGAAAUGCGUAGAUAUCAGGAGGAACACCUGCGGUGUAGACGGCUUACUGGACCAUAACUGACGCUGAGGCACGAAAGCGUGGGUAGCAAACAGG